CCAAUCAUAGGAAUCCUGGAGCAGAGUCCACAAGGUUCACGGAACACUAUGGCUCAGACGCAAAACAAAUAGACAAACAUGCUCACACAUUUACACACACAACCGCUGAACUCAUGGAGAGAAUAUCAUAUGAGAGACUCCGUGACACACUGUAAAUCCUCUCCUUGAGUCCUACUACUAAAAACAGUGUAUUUUACAAGCAGGUCACAUAGAGUUAAAGUAUCAAUCUUCUACAGACUUGCAGUGAUUAAGGUCCCUUUUCCUCCCUCAUGAAACUCAUGAAUGCUUUUCUAAGGCAGGGUGUAACCAUGCCUGUUCAAAGUCUUCCAGGUCUUUGUUGUAGCGUUUCAAACAAUAUCACUCUCCCUCAACUGAGGAUGGGACAGGAGGCUGUGGAACAAUGGUUCUCAACCAGGGGAGCUAGAACACCUAGUGGGCCUUACAGAGAUCUGACGGGUCUAUGGAAAAGCAUGGAAAAACAUGAACUAACAUGCCAACAUGAAUAGAAAAACAUCAGCAACAAGAACAUAAUAUUUUAUGGAAGAGCACUGUUAGUUGUUUUAAGGGGGUCUCCACAUUUGAGGGGUGUCUCAGUAGGCCCCCCAGAGGAAAGGUUGAGAACCCAUGGCAGCCAUAGAAACUGAUCCUGAUUGGUGGAGAAUACUGCGAGCAACAACCCAUCUGAGGUUUAGAAAGAGGGAGGAGAGGAAGGAGAAGAGGACCAGACAAGAUAUUCACAUUGUAGUCAUGUCACACACUCUUAUCCAGAGAAACAUACAAUAAGUGCAUUAAUAAUCUCUGACCAGUCUUACCUCGUCUCUGUCCCACACUGGCCUUGACACAUGGGCAGCUGUAGUGUUGCUGUGCAGUUGUCUACAGUGAUGUUCACACUAGAAACCCUGGUAGCACAAGUCUGGUUACCUGGGGUAGAGAGAACGGCAGUGGGUGAGUGGAAAAAAAUGCAUCAACCUCAUCAUCACAGUUUUUUCUCUGAACUAAAGGUUUCUAUGUUGAAAACUUUAACAAUUGUUUUAACAGAGGACUGACAAACAAAAUACUAAAAUAGUUUUUUUUGUGAACUAACCCUUUAACACAGUUCAGAGUUACAUUGUAAAUAAUCUUCCCUUGGAGCUAUAAGCAGUAGAUUCAGACUAGGAAACAUUCUAUUGUUGUUGAUUUUCUAGUCUCUCCUUGCAGUGGAAACAUCCACAGUGAAUAAGUGAACCACCUCAGUUCAACCACUAGAUGUCCGACUCUCCAUCUCUUCAUGGUCAGUGUGACCAGAUAUGAUCAUUUACCUACAACACAGACUGGAGAUAAGAGUUAGCUUACAUGUGUAGCAGCAAUGUUGUUCGUCCCAUACUCUGUCCUCCUAGAAACAAAAAAGUUACAUUGAAAAGAAUGUCCUGUAGCUCCAUACGUUGUGACAGCUGUUGACGUAAAAAUGUCUUCAUAAAUACAUUUGAUUGAUACAGAGAAAGAGCAGCAGGUACCUCUGAGCAGUUCUGAUGGGGACACACCCUUCUCACUGUCUGAGUGCCUUCUCUGGUACAGCUAUAGGACUCACAGGGCAGGGCAAGGUCUGUCCAUCUGUCUCCCACCUAACCAAACAGGCACAUAGACAUCAGACAAUGAAGAGCUGCCAAUGUGUACAAA
Molecule: non-coding RNA, 1656 nt
Organism: Salmo salar (Atlantic salmon)
Lineage: Eukaryota; Metazoa; Chordata; Actinopteri; Salmoniformes; Salmonidae
Source: RefSeq, a predicted model, not a curated record